GAGGAUCAAAACCUCGUAGUUCAUGGUAAAAAUAAAAAAGAUUUUUAUUUUUAUUCAUUUUUAAUGAAAAUAUAUUUUGUCAUUUUAAGGAGAAUACUCAAUUAACCACCCACAAGUAUGAGAACUUUGCAUCACCACUGAGAAUGACUUCAACUUGGAUAAAGAUCAACAAGUAUGCCACUAGCUCUCUUAUAUGGAAAAUAAUUAUCAUCAAUACUAUGGGGAUAUGAGAAUUAUAUCUCAACUAUGGAAAUGACUCAUGUCUAAACCUUGAGAAAAAGUUU
RNAcentral lists this long non-coding RNA (284 nucleotides) under Lathyrus oleraceus (garden pea). RNAcentral's name for it is "Pisum sativum (pea) long non-coding RNA (PSAT_LNC036607)". Lineage: Eukaryota; Viridiplantae; Streptophyta; Magnoliopsida; Fabales; Fabaceae. The record is from RNAcentral.